This 392-nucleotide ribosomal RNA is filed under the name uncultured Gammaproteobacteria bacterium. Its description in RNAcentral is "bacterial SSU rRNA". It matches the Rfam family "Bacterial small subunit ribosomal RNA", at positions 370 to 779 of the family's 1533-position model. The record is from RNAcentral. Lineage: Bacteria; Pseudomonadati; Pseudomonadota; Gammaproteobacteria.
AAUGGGCGAAAGCCUGACGGAGCAACGCCGCGUGAGGGAUGAAGGCCUCUGGGCUGUAAACCUCUUUUAUCAAGGAAGAAGAUUACGGUACUUGAUGAAUAAGCCACGGCUAAUUCCGUGCCAGCAGCCGCGGUAAUACGAAGGGACCUAGCGUAGUUCGGAAUUACUGGGCUUAAAGAGUUCGUAGGUGGUUGAAAAAGUUGGUGGUGAAAUCCCAGAGCUUAACUCUGGAACUGCCAUCAAAACUUUUCAGCUAGAGUAUGAUAGAGGAAAGCAGAAUUUCUAGUGUAGAGGUGAAAUUCGUAGAUAUUAGAAAGAAUACCAAUUGCGAAGGCAGCUUUCUGGAUCAUUACUGACACUGAGGAACGAAAGCAUGGGUAGCGAAGAGGAUU